RNAcentral lists this ribosomal RNA (455 nucleotides) under uncultured bacterium. RNAcentral's name for it is "bacterial SSU rRNA". It matches the Rfam family "Bacterial small subunit ribosomal RNA", at positions 8 to 463 of the family's 1533-position model. The record is from RNAcentral.
AGAGUUUGAUCCUGGCUCAGAUUGAACGCUGGCGGCAUGCUUUACACAUGCAAGUCGAACGGCAGCACGGGUGCUUGCACCUGGUGGCGAGUGGCGAACGGGUGAGUAAUGCACCGGAACGUACCCAGUAAUGGGGGAUAACACAUCGAAAGAUGUGCUAAUACCGCAUACGCCCUGAGGGGGAAAGCGGGGGAUCGUAAGACCUCGCGUUAUUGGAGCGGCCGAUGCCGGAUUAGCUAGUUGGUGAGGUAAGAGCUCACCAAGGCGACGAUCCGUAGCUGGUCUGAGAGGACGACCAGCCACACUGGGACUGAGACACGGCCCAGACUCCUACGGGAGGCAGCAGUGGGGAAUUUUGGACAAUGGGCGCAAGCCUGAUCCAGCCAUGCCGCGUGAGUGAAGAAGGCCUUCGGGUUGUAAAGCUCUUUCGCAAGGAAGGAAAACUUAUCUACUAA